This 278-nucleotide ribosomal RNA is filed under the name uncultured bacterium. Its description in RNAcentral is "partial 16S ribosomal RNA". It matches the Rfam family "Bacterial small subunit ribosomal RNA", at positions 1105 to 1382 of the family's 1533-position model. The record is from RNAcentral.
UUGCCCUUAGUUGCUAACAGGUUAAGCUGAGCACCCUAAGGGAACUGUCGGCGAAAAGCCGGAGGAAGGUGGGGAUGACGUCAAGUCCUCAUGGCCCUUACGUCCCGGGCUACACACGUGCUACAAUGGUCGGUACAAAGGGUUGCCAACCCGCGAGGGGGAGCUAAUCCCAAAAACCCGAUCCCAGUUCGGAUUGCAGUCUGCAACUCGACUGCAUGAAGUUGGAAUCGCUAGUAAUCGCAGAUCAGCAUGCUGCGGUGAAUACGUUCCCGGGCCUU